GAAGAUCAAUCAAUCCGGCACAAACAUCACCAUAAAAUCCGGCACAAACAUCACCAAAAUAGUCCAUUGCACACAAAUUUAAGGGAAGAUAAUAGCAAAUCAAUCAAACAAAAUGAUUGAAAAACAAAACCCUCCAAUUGAUUGCCAUUGUCAACCUCAUAUUGUUUAUGUUUUCAAUAGUGUAAACAGAGGUCAUAUUUUUAGCCCAGUACAAAAUUGAUUGCCUAAUGAAACUAUAAUAACUACAACAACCCAUUUUUGGGUGGAAGCACUUCUCACAAAGGAGAUGGUUGUGUGAGGAAGAAGACAGGCUGAAGUGAUGAAGUCAGGCAGCCUAAAAUAGUGUGAAUUCCAUGUAAAUUAAAGUCACAUGAGUUUUCAAGUCAAAAGGUCCUUAUUCAUUCUACUCUCUACAGUGUAAGAAUAGAUCGAGCAAUUUAUGUGCAGCAAAUUAUGUACCGCUAACUCAUGUCACCUUCUUAAAGAGAGCUUUUGAGGUAUAUGCUAAUCGCACCUCUGUUGUAUAUGCCCGAGCUAGAUUCACCUGGCAGCAAACUUAUCAGCGUUGCUGUCAACUCGCACCUCUGUUGUAUAUGCCCAAGUCUAGAACCUUGCUAGCAUGCAAUCUCUAGUACCAAGAUAACACUGCUUCAUUCAAAAAUUAUCUGCAAAUUCAAACGCAAAGUCACCAUUUGCAAAACACCCAAAACCAACAAACACCAUAGCCUAAACUUGUCAAAGUCCAAUCUCGACAUACCCACAUUUCCAACCAACUGAAACAGCAAACUUCCUAAAUCCAUCCAAAAAUUCAAAUCCAAAAUCAAGAACCCAAUUAGGGAAAACACCAAAAACAAUCAUAAGCCCCAACAAAAACCCUAGAAUCCCAAAUAGAACACUACCUACAUAUAUAUAGGAGAGAAAAAAAAUAAGUAAACUAAAAAAAUAAACACAUGUCACAAAUUGAAAGAACAGAUGCGAGAAGUAAAGGAAAAUUUGCAGAGAAAAAAUAAACUACUGAAGUUACUCAAAUUACUGAAGAGAAUUGAUUCAUAUUUUUCAUGUCUUCUCCACUCCGACCUCACCCCUUUUAUGCUACUGCUAACAAAUUUGGUGCACAGACCAAAGAAACCUAACCAACCAAAAUAAGACAUGUUGCUUACAACCACAACUAGCUAACCGACUCACUAACAAAUUAGUUGACUAAACGUUUCGUUCCAACUCCCUUCUUUCUACGGCUCAAUUCUGUGAUGUCCUGCUCCCAUUCUUGACAACACACUGAGAAAAAAGAACACGAAAUAAAUAACGAAUAAAUCCAGAUCGAAAAACACAAACAAUCACCGGAUCAAAAAUCACCAGAACUAAAAUCAGUUCAAGAUCUGAGAAAUGGAAAGAUGAAUAGGGAGAACAUAACAGAUCUGAACGCAUCCUCUUCCAAACCAUCAACCUCAUCAAAUCAUCAAGAUCUGAAACCCAAUCAGCCCAAACAAAGCCACCACUUCAGAUCAUAACUUCUAGGACCGAGAUUCAUCUUAAUCAAACCCUCUACUAAUCCGAACAGAGAAACCCCACAAUCUAAAAGCCCACGGACUUGGCUUAUCAUAGAUUAGAAAACGAAUUUCGGGAAGGUGCUUCAUUUCAGCCGUCAGAGGAGCAUGAAUAGCACCCAGCAUAAUAAAGAGGAGAGGAAGGAGAAGAGAUGGUGGGCCGAAGAGAAGGAAAGGGAGGGAGG
Molecule: long non-coding RNA, 1729 nt
Filed under: Panax ginseng (ginseng)
Lineage: Eukaryota; Viridiplantae; Streptophyta; Magnoliopsida; Apiales; Araliaceae
Description: long non-coding RNA (PGIN_LNC010548)
Source: RNAcentral